Molecule: transfer RNA, 71 nt
Filed under: Loxodonta africana (African savanna elephant)
Lineage: Eukaryota; Metazoa; Chordata; Mammalia; Proboscidea; Elephantidae
Rfam family: tRNA
About the family: Transfer RNA (tRNA) molecules are approximately 80 nucleotides in length. Their secondary structure includes four short double-helical elements and three loops (D, anti-codon, and T loops). Further hydrogen bonds mediate the characteristic L-shaped molecular structure. tRNAs have two regions of fundamental functional importance: the anti-codon, which is responsible for specific mRNA codon recognition, and the 3' end, to which the tRNAs corresponding amino acid is attached (by aminoacyl-tRNA synthetases). tRNAs cope with the degeneracy of the genetic code in two manners: having more than one tRNA (with a specific anti-codon) for a particular amino acid; and 'wobble' base-pairing, i.e. permitting non-standard base-pairing at the 3rd anti-codon position.
Source: Rfam by way of RNAcentral
ACAAUGGUGGUUCAGUGGUAGAGUUCCUGUCUGCCAUGCAGGAGAUGUAGGUUUGAUUUCUGCCUGGUGCA